Molecule: ribosomal RNA, 1552 nt
Filed under: Salmonella enterica subsp. enterica serovar Anatum str. CFSAN003961
Lineage: Bacteria; Pseudomonadati; Pseudomonadota; Gammaproteobacteria; Enterobacterales; Enterobacteriaceae
Description: bacterial SSU rRNA
Rfam family: Bacterial small subunit ribosomal RNA
Source: RNAcentral
AAAUUGAAGAGUUUGAUCAUGGCUCAGAUUGAACGCUGGCGGCAGGCCUAACACAUGCAAGUCGAACGGUAACAGGAAGCAGCUUGCUGCUUCGCUGACGAGUGGCGGACGGGUGAGUAAUGUCUGGGAAACUGCCUGAUGGAGGGGGAUAACUACUGGAAACGGUGGCUAAUACCGCAUAACGUCGCAAGACCAAAGAGGGGGACCUUCGGACCUCUUGCCAUCAGAUGUGCCCAGAUGGGAUUAGCUUGUUGGUGAGGUAACGGCUCACCAAGGCGACGAUCCCUAGCUGGUCUGAGAGGAUGACCAGCCACACUGGAACUGAGACACGGUCCAGACUCCUACGGGAGGCAGCAGUGGGGAAUAUUGCACAAUGGGCGCAAGCCUGAUGCAGCCAUGCCGCGUGUAUGAAGAAGGCCUUCGGGUUGUAAAGUACUUUCAGCGGGGAGGAAGGUGUUGUGGUUAAUAACCGCAGCAAUUGACGUUACCCGCAGAAGAAGCACCGGCUAACUCCGUGCCAGCAGCCGCGGUAAUACGGAGGGUGCAAGCGUUAAUCGGAAUUACUGGGCGUAAAGCGCACGCAGGCGGUCUGUCAAGUCGGAUGUGAAAUCCCCGGGCUCAACCUGGGAACUGCAUUCGAAACUGGCAGGCUUGAGUCUUGUAGAGGGGGGUAGAAUUCCAGGUGUAGCGGUGAAAUGCGUAGAGAUCUGGAGGAAUACCGGUGGCGAAGGCGGCCCCCUGGACAAAGACUGACGCUCAGGUGCGAAAGCGUGGGGAGCAAACAGGAUUAGAUACCCUGGUAGUCCACGCCGUAAACGAUGUCUACUUGGAGGUUGUGCCCUUGAGGCGUGGCUUCCGGAGCUAACGCGUUAAGUAGACCGCCUGGGGAGUACGGCCGCAAGGUUAAAACUCAAAUGAAUUGACGGGGGCCCGCACAAGCGGUGGAGCAUGUGGUUUAAUUCGAUGCAACGCGAAGAACCUUACCUGGUCUUGACAUCCACAGAAGAAUCCAGAGAUGGAUUUGUGCCUUCGGGAACUGUGAGACAGGUGCUGCAUGGCUGUCGUCAGCUCGUGUUGUGAAAUGUUGGGUUAAGUCCCGCAACGAGCGCAACCCUUAUCCUUUGUUGCCAGCGGUUAGGCCGGGAACUCAAAGGAGACUGCCAGUGAUAAACUGGAGGAAGGUGGGGAUGACGUCAAGUCAUCAUGGCCCUUACGACCAGGGCUACACACGUGCUACAAUGGCGCAUACAAAGAGAAGCGACCUCGCGAGAGCAAGCGGACCUCAUAAAGUGCGUCGUAGUCCGGAUUGGAGUCUGCAACUCGACUCCAUGAAGUCGGAAUCGCUAGUAAUCGUGGAUCAGAAUGCCACGGUGAAUACGUUCCCGGGCCUUGUACACACCGCCCGUCACACCAUGGGAGUGGGUUGCAAAAGAAGUAGGUAGCUUAACCUUCGGGAGGGCGCUUACCACUUUGUGAUUCAUGACUGGGGUGAAGUCGUAACAAGGUAACCGUAGGGGAACCUGCGGUUGGAUCACCUCCUUACCUUAAAGAA